RNAcentral lists this ribosomal RNA (433 nucleotides) under uncultured bacterium. RNAcentral's name for it is "partial 16S ribosomal RNA". It matches the Rfam family "Bacterial small subunit ribosomal RNA", at positions 29 to 507 of the family's 1533-position model. The record is from RNAcentral.
AACGAACGCUGGCGGCAUGCCUAACACAUGCAAGUCGAACGAGACCUUCGGGUCUAGUGGCGCACGGGUGCGUAACGCGUGGGAACCUGCCCUUAGGUUCGGAAUAACUCCCCGACAGGGGUGCUAAUACCGGAUAAUGUCUUCGGACCAAAGAUUUAUCGCCUUUGGAUGGGCCCGCGUUGGAUUAGCUAGUUGGUAGGGUAAAAGCCUACCAAGGCGACGAUCCAUAGCUGGUCUGAGAGGAUGAUCAGCCACACUGGGACUGAGACACGGCCCAGACUCCUACGGGAGGCAGCAGUGGGGAAUAUUGGACAAUGGGCGGAAGCCUGAUCCAGCAAUGCCGCGUGAGUGAUGAAGGCCUUAGGGUUGUAAAGCUCUUUUACCCGGGAUGAUAAUGACAGUACCGGGAGAAUAAGCUCCGGCUAACUCCGUG